This 253-nucleotide ribosomal RNA is filed under the name uncultured bacterium. RNAcentral's name for it is "partial 16S ribosomal RNA". It matches the Rfam family "Bacterial small subunit ribosomal RNA", at positions 524 to 776 of the family's 1533-position model. The record is from RNAcentral.
UACGGAGGGUGCAAGCGUUAUCCGGAUUCACUGGGUUUAAAGGGUGCGCAGGUGGCUUGGCAAGUUUGAUGUGAAAGCUCAGGGCUUAACCCUGAAAUGGCAUUGAAUACUGUUGAGCUGGAGGUUUGGAGGGGGGACUGGAAUUCUUGGUGUAGCAGUGAAAUGCGUAGAUAUCAGGAGGAACACCGGUGGCGAAGGCGGGUCUCUGGGCCGAUACUGACGCUGAGGAGCGAAAGCAUGGGGAGCGAACAGG